This 244-nucleotide ribosomal RNA is filed under the name uncultured Staphylococcus sp. Its description in RNAcentral is "partial 16S ribosomal RNA". It matches the Rfam family "Bacterial small subunit ribosomal RNA", at positions 96 to 334 of the family's 1533-position model. The record is from RNAcentral. Lineage: Bacteria; Bacillati; Bacillota; Bacilli; Caryophanales; Staphylococcaceae.
CGGCGGACGGGUGAGUAACACGUGGAUAACCUACCUAUAAGACUGGGAUAACUUCGGGAAACCAGAGCUAAUACCGGAUAAUAUUUUGAACCGCAUGGUUCAAAAGUGAAAGACGGUCUUGCUGUCACUUAUAGAUGGAUCCGCGCUGCAUUAGCUAGUUGGUAAGGUAACGGCUUACCAAGGCAACGAUGCAUAGCCGACCUGAGAGGGUGAUCGGCCACACUGGAACUGAGACACGGUCCAG